This 73-nucleotide transfer RNA is filed under the name Nitrospinota bacterium. RNAcentral's name for it is "tRNA-Ala". It matches the Rfam family "tRNA". From Rfam's summary of the family: Transfer RNA (tRNA) molecules are approximately 80 nucleotides in length. The record is from RNAcentral. Lineage: Bacteria; Pseudomonadati; Nitrospinota. RNAcentral also lists the same sequence under 1 other name.
GGGGCUGUGGCGCAGCUGGGAGCGUGCUUGAAUGGCAUUCAAGAGGUCGGGAGUUCGAUCCUCCCCAGCUCCA